RNAcentral lists this ribosomal RNA (502 nucleotides) under uncultured bacterium. Its description in RNAcentral is "partial 16S ribosomal RNA". It matches the Rfam family "Bacterial small subunit ribosomal RNA", at positions 30 to 523 of the family's 1533-position model. The record is from RNAcentral.
AUUGAACGCUGGCGGCAUGCUUUACACAUGCAAGUCGAACGGCAGCAUAGGUGCUUGCACCUGAUGGCGAGUGGCGAACGGGUGAGUAAUAUAUCGGAACAUGUCCGGAAGUGGGGGAUAACGUAGCGAAAGUUACGCUAAUACCGCAUAUGCCCUGAGGGGGAAAGGGGGGGAUCGUAAGACCUCUCGCUUUCGGAGUGGCCGAUAUCGGAUUAGCUAGUAAGUGAGGUAAAGGCUCACCUAGGCGACGAUCCGUAGCUGGUCUGAGAGGACGACCAGCCACACUGGGACUGAGACACGGCCCAGACUCCUACGGGAGGCAGCAGUGGGGAAUUUUGGACAAUGGGCGCAAGCCUGAUCCAGCCAUGCCGCGUGAGUGAAGAAGGCCUUCGGGUUGUAAAGCUCUUUCAGCUGGAAAGAAAUCGUAUCUAUUAAUACUAGGUGCGGAUGACGGUACCAGCAGAAGAAGCACCGGCUAACUACGUGCCAGCAGCCGCGGUAA